RNAcentral lists this long non-coding RNA (1177 nucleotides) under Equus asinus (donkey). RNAcentral's name for it is "lncRNA (ENSEASG00005034043.1)". The record is from RNAcentral. Lineage: Eukaryota; Metazoa; Chordata; Mammalia; Perissodactyla; Equidae.
CCCCGCCCUCGCAUUCCCUCGUCGGGCCCCAUUCAUCCACAGUUUGAACCCUGACGCGAGCCCACCGAGCCUCCCGGGCGCGGGGUGCUGUCUGCGUGUCCACGCCUCUGCGCCUCCGCCCGGCCCACCUCCCGCGCAGCCUUGCGGACGGCCACCGCCUAAAGUCCCUUCUAGCCGUGGUCUCUCCCCUCCCCUGCGGGAUGCCAAGAUCUGGGGACAAAGAUCAUUAAUAUCUUUAAGUUUCUAGCAACCAGAACGAGACCCACUAGAACAUCCCACUCUCUCCAGAGCCUGCGGAUGGGAUCCUGGGGAAACUGACAGAAGCUGGCAAAGGGACAGCUGUUGCCUCCUUGUUUGCCUCAUUUUGUACCCUGAGAACUUGACAUGGCUUUCUGCCUGCUUGGGGCAUGCAGGUUGUUUAUACAGGCAGCUCAACCAUCAGAUUGGGAGCCUCCCAAAUAUGGCCGGAUGGAAAUAUGGAUUGCACCACAUCUGGAACUGGAUAUGGCUGGACUGAAAUAUCAAAGAACCUAGAGGAGAAGAAAGAAAAAAAUCAGAUGACCAGACAGUUUUAAGCAACUAAUGUUGAAUUUAUAGAGACAAUAAAGCCCCUUUAGAAAACCAGCCUGCUGUCUUGCUUACAUGAUUCUUGGCAGCCUUACCAGAACCAAGACUGCAUUUGAACUUCCUUGGAAGGAACCAUAGCAGAUUCUCCUCACUACCCAGAUGGCAGCCAAACUUCAGAGUCUUCAACCUUGAGUCCAGAACUCCCAAUAAAAAGGGCUCCUGCAGACUCUUGGAACUACACACCAGCUGGAGAUCCAAAAUUAAAAUUGACUAUGGAGGCUCCUCCCCAGAAGCAGAUGGCAUCUUGAGGUGGACAGCUCUCCCAAGAUCGCAGAUCAAGAUCUCCAUCUCCAAUAUAAAACCUUGAUUCUUUUUGCCUUUCUACUACCUGCUUUUUCUCUCUGUUACUGCACAGGAAGACAAUGCUCCUUAACUCUGGCAACUAUCCCUGAAUAUACCAGUAAGGCCAUGUUGGCAUAACAAAACUCCCUAGACUUUCUUGCUAGGGUGGUUUUAAAUAAUAGUGUUGCUUUAGAUUACUUAUUGGCUGAACAAAUAAGAGUUUACGUCAUAGCAAAGUAUCUAUUAUACCUGGAUCAACACUGUUAGC